This 300-nucleotide long non-coding RNA is filed under the name Brassica napus (rape). RNAcentral's name for it is "long non-coding RNA (BNAP_LNC016944)". Lineage: Eukaryota; Viridiplantae; Streptophyta; Magnoliopsida; Brassicales; Brassicaceae. The record is from RNAcentral.
AAAUUUAAGAAGAAGACUCUUAAUAUUUAGGAAAGGGUUUACUACAAAGAUUUUGUUUUUGGAAACUCUCUCUUACAAAUAUUUUCUCUCUUUGUUUUUCUUGAUUCUUGGAUGAUUACAAAUGGUGCUAAGCACCCCUAUUUAUACUAGUAAGUGGAGACUACAAGUUAGUUCUACACACUUCAUCUUCUACACACUUCCUUUUCUACACACUUCUUCAUCCUUCUCCAUUUUUCUCUAGAUAUUUCUUCUUCUUCUUGGGCUUCUUGGGUCUUGGGCUAAUGAGGGAAAAACCCAACA